RNAcentral lists this long non-coding RNA (265 nucleotides) under Olea europaea (common olive). Its description in RNAcentral is "long non-coding RNA (OEUR_LNC006104)". Lineage: Eukaryota; Viridiplantae; Streptophyta; Magnoliopsida; Lamiales; Oleaceae. The record is from RNAcentral.
ACUUCUCGAAACCUUAAAAAGCCAAAAAGACAUGUUUUCUGCAGCCAUAUAACAUAUUCCCUAAUGAAAGCUCCUCAAUCUAUGUGACUGAUAUCAGAUUAUAGGAGAAGUAUUUGCUGCACAAGGAAAUGAUCGACUGAUCACUUGGUAAGGAUGCAUCUAAUUGGUGAUCCCUCUGCACCAACCAACCUUAAAGGUAAGCAAUGCACGGUAUAUAUUCCAGGUCGAACAUUAUCGAGUUUCAGGCCUUCAACGAGGAUAAUUU